UGCCAGCAGCCGCGGUAAUACUGAAGGUGCAAGCGUUAAUCGGAAUCACUGGGGGUAAAGCGCUCGUAGGUGGCUUUGUAAGUCAGAUGUGAAAGCCCCGGGCUCAACCUGGGAAUUGCAUUUGAAACUGCCUCACUAGAGUAUGGUAGAGGGAAGUGGAAUUCCGGGAGUAGCGGUGAAAUGCGUAGAUAUCCGGAGGAACAUCAGUGGCGAAGGCGACUUCCUGGACCAAUACUGACACUGAGGUGCGAAAGCGUGGGUAGCAAACAGGAUUAGAUA
RNAcentral lists this ribosomal RNA (279 nucleotides) under uncultured bacterium. RNAcentral's name for it is "partial 16S ribosomal RNA". It matches the Rfam family "Bacterial small subunit ribosomal RNA", at positions 506 to 784 of the family's 1533-position model. The record is from RNAcentral.